RNAcentral lists this ribosomal RNA (320 nucleotides) under Ophiothrix fragilis. RNAcentral describes it as "partial 16S ribosomal RNA". It matches the Rfam family "Bacterial large subunit ribosomal RNA", at positions 2006 to 2557 of the family's 2925-position model. Lineage: Eukaryota; Metazoa; Echinodermata; Ophiuroidea; Amphilepidida; Ophiotrichidae. The record is from RNAcentral.
GAUAAGAAAGCUGUCUCUCUUUACUAAACUCUGAAGUUAGCUGGAUAGUGAAGAGACUCUCUUAGCAAAGCGGGACGAGAAGACCCCGUUGAGCUUUAGUAAAAAUUGUUUAUUAAAAACUUGAUUACUUGAGUUGGGGCAACUAUCUUUCUUUUUUAAAACAAAGAUAAAAAUGUUUUGAGUUGAUUCUUUUAUGACCCUUAAUCUUAGGAAUAGUAGAAAAAGUUACCACGGGGAUAACAGCGUAAUUUUUUUUGAGAGUUCUUAUUGACAAAAAAGUUUGCGACCUCGAUGUUGGAUCAUAGUUUCCGGGGGGUGCA